This is a long non-coding RNA of Sapajus apella (tufted capuchin), 545 nucleotides long. RefSeq lists it as uncharacterized. The record is from RefSeq and is a predicted model, not a curated record. Lineage: Eukaryota; Metazoa; Chordata; Mammalia; Primates; Cebidae. The transcript has 2 exons.
UUGGGUAGAUGAGGGUGCAUUUUUCUGGGAGGAGUCUAAGGCUUCGCUCUGACUCCCAAAGGCUAAAGAGCCCGCCCCGGGAGGCAGGACGCGAGGCCGGCCGCGGGAAAGAGCCCUGGCUGUCCCUCCCGGCCUAGCGCUACCUCUUUGAUCUCAUCCUCCUUGUGGCGGCGAGAGUCACCAAAGAUUUGCAACGGUAGGAUUGCCCGUGCCAGCUUCCGGAAAUGAGCAUCCGCUCCCUCUCCCGGGAGUGGGCGUGGGGUUCACCGAGAGGAGAGACCUUGCGUUUGCGCCGGGCCUGCUCGGUGCCAGGCCAUCCCAGGCUUCAGUCUACCCUGGUUUCCGGUCUACGCGUUGUGGGUAGCAGCAUUGGCGUGUUGCGCCUCGGGGAGCAAGCUGAGCGAGGAUCCAAAAGGUGCGCAAUAGCUGGAGAGGAAGGGGCGAUGCCUCACCUGGCCCCCUCCCUGAGGCUCCAUCCAGCCCAGAAAAAAGGAGCUGCUUUCUCCCCCACCUACCCGAGGAUAAAUAAUCGGGCGCUGACAUUU